RNAcentral lists this unclassified non-coding RNA (323 nucleotides) under soil metagenome. Its description in RNAcentral is "partial contains 5.8S ribosomal RNA, internal transcribed spacer 2, and large subunit ribosomal RNA". The stretch from base 1 to 120 matches the Rfam family "5.8S ribosomal RNA", at positions 35 to 154 of the family's 154-position model. The record is from RNAcentral.
GAUGAAGAACGUAGCGAAAUGCGAUAAGUAAUGCGAAUUGCAGAAUUCAGUGAGUCAUCGAAUCUUUGAACGCACAUUGCGCCCUGUGGUAUUCCGCAGGGCAUGCCUGUUCGAGCGUCAUUUCAACCCUCAAGCUCUGCUUGGUGUUGGGCCACGCCCUCGCGGCCGGCCCCAAAGCCAGUGGCGGCGCCGUCCGGCUCUAAGCGUAGUACAUCUCUCGCUCUAGGGCCCGGCGGCUGCCUGACAGAACCCCAAACUCUUAUGGUUGACCUCGGAUCAGGUAGGGAUACCCGCUGAACUUAAGCAUAUCAAUAAGCGGAGGA